GGGCCAGCUUAGCCUAGCAGUUACUUUGACUCUACAUUUGCAGAAUCGCUAAUUGCUUAACGGCAGUUUGAUACUCUGCGGGCGCUGUCUGGCUUUAUU
Vault RNA from Podarcis muralis (Common wall lizard), 99 nucleotides. Its record names the gene Vault. It matches the Rfam family "Vault RNA". From Rfam's summary of the family: This family of RNAs are found as part of the enigmatic vault ribonucleoprotein complex. The complex consists of a major vault protein (MVP), two minor vault proteins (VPARP and TEP1), and several small untranslated RNA molecules. It has been suggested that the vault complex is involved in drug resistance. Lineage: Eukaryota; Metazoa; Chordata; Lepidosauria; Squamata; Lacertidae. The record is from Ensembl.